RNAcentral lists this transfer RNA (44 nucleotides) under Pteridium aquilinum subsp. latiusculum. RNAcentral's name for it is "partial tRNA-Leu". Lineage: Eukaryota; Viridiplantae; Streptophyta; Polypodiopsida; Polypodiales; Dennstaedtiaceae. RNAcentral also lists the same sequence under 1 other name. The record is from RNAcentral.
UCAAAAUCCGUUGGUUCCAAAGGACCGUGAGGGUUCAAGUCCCU